Long non-coding RNA from Rosa rugosa (rugosa rose), 843 nucleotides. RefSeq lists it as uncharacterized. NCBI's taxonomy places the organism in Eukaryota, Viridiplantae, Streptophyta, Magnoliopsida, Rosales, Rosaceae. The transcript has 3 exons. The record is from RefSeq and is a predicted model, not a curated record.
UUCUCUUCAACUUCUUCAUUAUUAGAUAUAUAUAAAUUGGUUGGAUGUAUAUUCAAGUUUGUUUGAAAUUUUACUUUGAGGAAUGUGUUUCGUUUUAUCAUAUGUAGCUGUUGAUUUUGGUAUUUCUAUUUUUCUCGCUUUCAUUUAUUUAGGUGCUGGUUUGGUUGCCAAGAUGAGCAGAGGCACCCUCUUCUCUCAUCUGUUUAUCAGAUUGGAACCUAAUAAUGAGUAGCUUGAUACUUGAGAUUGUUAGUUAAUCAAGGCAUGGUAACUUUUUUCAUUAUCAAUUUAUAUUCACUAGGAAUCUCAAGUAGAUGAACUGUAAUAGCUAGUCUAAUUGGUUUUUUAUUCUCUUAUCAUUCCACAGGACCCAACAAUGUUUGAAGCAAUGACUAGAGCAAUAUUCUGAAAGUGAUGUUUGAGAGGUAAUUAUUUUUAUCAAAUAAGUAGUUUCUGAAAUGGGCUGCCCAAGAAAUUAAAAACCUUUGAAUGUAAUUUUGAAAGUAGGAGAAACAUUUUAACAUGUGUUCUAUAUCUAUCCUUGGUACAGAUGAUAUAUCCUCGUUUGAGAGGUAGACUACAUGUCAUACAUCCUUUACAUGGCCUGGUUUUGUGAGGGUUGGCAUUUAAGCUCAGCUUUGUGCAAUCAAAUAUGGGAAAUUGUUGAAUUCCAGUUGUCAAGUAUUCGUUUCUGUUUCGGUGCGCCUGUGAGUAUUUUUCUGUGUUCUCCAUUUUCAGUUCAGUUUUGAAGUAUUGUUUUCAUGUGUGUGUGACUAAGAGGAUGACAUUGCUGUGAUGUUUGUAUAUAAAGGCAUCUCAUUUCUGUUUUGCGCAUUUUCAAAU